GACGAACGCUGGCGGCGUGCCUAACACAUGCAAGUCGAACGAGGUCCAUGCAGUGGCAACACUGCGGAAGACCUAGUGGCGAACAGGUGAGUAACACGUGAGGAACCUGCCCCGAAGGCCGGGAUAACCCUCCGAAAGGAGAGCUAAUACCGGAUACCCCCACCUGGUCGCAUGGCCGGGUGAGGAAAUGGAUUCCGCUUCGGGAGGGCCUCGCGGCCUAUCAGCUAGUUGGUGAGGUAACGGCUCACCAAGGCAUCGACGGGUAGCUGGUCUGAGAGGACGAUCAGCCACACUGGGACUGAGACACGGCCCAGACUCCUACGGGAGGCAGCAGUGGGGAAUCUUGCGCAAUGGGCGAAAGCCUGACGCAGCAACGCCGCGUGGGGGAUGAAGGCUCUCGGGUUGUAAACCCCUUUCAGCAGGGACGAAAUUGACGGUACCUGCAGAAGAAGCCCGGCUAACUACGUG
RNAcentral lists this ribosomal RNA (468 nucleotides) under uncultured bacterium. RNAcentral describes it as "bacterial SSU rRNA". It matches the Rfam family "Bacterial small subunit ribosomal RNA", at positions 28 to 507 of the family's 1533-position model. The record is from RNAcentral.